UCAAAAACAUGUCUUUGUGAUGUUUAAUAUAAAGUCUGACCUGCCCAUUGAUAUAAAGUUUAAAGGCCGCGGUAUAAUGACCGUGCGAAGGUAGCAUAAUAAUUUGUCUUUUAAUUGAAGGCUAGCAUGAAKGGUUGAACAAAAGGCUAACUGUCUCUGAGAUAAAUCUUGAAAUUAACGUUUAAGUGAAAAGGCUUAAAUGAGCUAGAGGGAYGAUAAGACCCUGUAAAUCUUUAUAUUUUGGCUGAUAAGGUUAAAAGUUAGGUUAKUAUUUAAUUUUAUAAGUUUGAAUAUUUUGUUGGGGAGACAGGGGYAUAAAAGGAAAUAACUGCCUUARAGUUUAAGUUAAAAAUGUUUAAAUUAUUAAGUGAUCCUUUAAUAAGGAAUAUAGACUAAGUUACUUUAGGGAUAACAGCGUAAUYCCYUUUGAGAGUUCAUAUCGAAARRGGAGAUUGCGACCUCGAUGUUGAAUUAAUGAUCCUUUACGGUGCAGAAGUUGUAUGAGGAGGUCUGUUCGACCUUUAAAUCUUUACAUGAUUUGAGUUCAAACCGGCGUGAGCCAGGUUGGUUUUCUAUC
Molecule: ribosomal RNA, 577 nt
Filed under: Scyllarides deceptor
Lineage: Eukaryota; Metazoa; Arthropoda; Malacostraca; Decapoda; Scyllaridae
Description: partial 16S ribosomal RNA
Rfam family: Bacterial large subunit ribosomal RNA
Source: RNAcentral